AAGGAGGAGAGGCCCCUUCAAAAACGAGUGCCUUCCUGGGCUGAGCCCCACUGCUCUGCUUCUGCUCUGCUCCCUGUGUUCCCCCAGCAGGCCUGGCCCAGCACCACCGCACUUUCCCUGGGAGAGCGCAGGUACAGAAGUUACUGAAGCAAAGAGUUUGAGCGAGCAAAGUCCAAUGGGAGCGCAGAAGAGGUGGGGCAGAGGCCAGCACUGGAAGGUUGUCACAUCACUGAAGGUUUCCCAGGCGAUUUGCCCAAGCCCCGCAGUGCUGCACUCCGUGUAUUUGACAAGCUGAGUUUGACACUCAGUGUGGCAGAGUGUCAGUUUGUCAAAUACCCCAAGUGAGGCAUUUGCUUAGCAACACACAUCAGCGCCGGAGAAGAUUGAUUAUUUCGUCUUCCUUGGACAGGAGUCUUUUAUUUAAUAUUUUAUCUCAGUUGUAAAUACAAAGAGUUACCUAAUAGCUACAUAUUAUGCUUUGCUUCCUGUGCUAGCAG
This is a long non-coding RNA of Pelodiscus sinensis (Chinese soft-shelled turtle), 497 nucleotides long. RefSeq lists it as uncharacterized. Lineage: Eukaryota; Metazoa; Chordata; Testudines; Trionychidae. The record is from RefSeq and is a predicted model, not a curated record.